RNAcentral lists this signal recognition particle RNA (290 nucleotides) under Octodon degus (degu). RNAcentral describes it as "Metazoan signal recognition particle RNA (ENSODEG00000025884.1)". It matches the Rfam family "Metazoan signal recognition particle RNA". From Rfam's summary of the family: The signal recognition particle (SRP) is a universally conserved ribonucleoprotein. The record is from RNAcentral. Lineage: Eukaryota; Metazoa; Chordata; Mammalia; Rodentia; Octodontidae.
GCCGGGCGUGGUGGCGCGCACCUGUAGUCCCAGCUAGUCGGGAGGCUGGCGUGGGGGCACCGCUUGAGUCCAGGAGUUCUGGGCUGCAGUGCCCUAUGCCGAUCGGGUAUCCGCACUGAGUUCGGCAUCAAUAUGGUGACCUCCCUGGAGUGGGGGACAGCCAGGAUGCCUAAGGAGGGGUGAACCGGCCCAGGUCGGAAACGGAGCAGGUCAAUCUCAAAAAAUAAUAAAUCUUUUCACUUUUUUAAAUUUAGGACAGGGUGUACAGAGUGUACAGGGUUUUCCUGCGU